CCAACUGUUUCUAUUAAAGAAAUACCUUGACCAAUGCUAUGCACCAAAAAUCAAAUCUUUACAUCUGAAUUCCUUUCCUUUUGUUCCUCCGGUGAGUGAGAGUCGAGGAUUCGAUGAGAGGGAGGAGUGGGACUGUCCGAGCUCGACGCCGGGCUGUCAAGGCCACGGCUGCCGGCGCUGCAUGCGUGGCAGCAGCCCGCCGGCCGCUCGCGGCCAAGGCAGACGGAGUCGGGGCACGGCAGUGAGGCUGGUGGCUGGCAAGAGGGAGGUGGUGAGCAGAGGGUAAGGUGAGAAAGAGGAGGCGAUGAGUGAGGGACCGAGGUUAGAGCAGGCGGCGGCGGAAGAUCUUGGAGGGAGAAGAGGCGGUGGUUCUGGGAGAGAGAAAAAGCGAAUUAUAGAGACAGAUGGGAGGAGGAGAGAGAGGUGGUUCCCGGCGACGAAUCGCCGCGAAGAGGGGCGGCGGCGUGGCUUCAUGUGGGAGAGAGAGAGGGCGGCGGAUAGAGAGGGGAAGAUGGGUGUGAGGAUAGAGAGAGAAAGAGAACCGAUAGUGAGGAGAGAGAGAGUGAAUAUUUGGCUUUUCAUUUCAGAUUUUUAGGUGUUCAAAAGCUGAUGGAUUUUCUUUAAUGGGCCGAUUUCUAUUAUCAGUUGGGCCGUUUCUUUUCUUUUAUUUGAUGGUAUGUGUUUUCAUUACUUGGGCCCUUUCAAUUUGAGCAAGCCUCUUAUAUUUUCUUUGGGCUCUAUUUAUUUAUUUAAUUGGGCCUGUAAGUGUUUUCACUAAUUUUAUCAAUUUUCUAUAAGAUUUAGUUUUUAUAUAUUUAAGUAUAUUAUUAAUUAUUGAUUACUUUUACUAAGCUAUCAUUUAUUUUGAAACUAGUAUCCUCAAUAAAUUACCAAUGUUUAUUCCUAUAAUCUGGGCUGAGUGUAUCAAUAGUUAGCAAUUCUCCUUUAUAUUUACAAGUUAGAAUAGCACCUCGAGACCUAUUAAAGAAUAGAUUUCUUGUAGGUUCGAAUAAUCAAGGGCAGUAGAGAAGAGCAAGCAAGCACUGAAUCUCCACUAUUGAGGUGGGCUAUAUUUUGGUAAAAUGUAUCUUGAGUUAUAUAAGCUCUGAUAUUUCAUGAAAGUUAAUUGUUUAUCCAAUAUAAAUGUUUUUAUGUGCGUUCUGUAAUUGUUUAAUGCUCGCAUAAGCAUCGAUCGAGAUUCUCAUUUGACCUAACACGUUAGAUGAGGAUUGUGUACACAAGGUUAGUGGCUCAAUGGGUUGAUCGCCAUUGGGAACUAACAAAGCUAAGCAGGCGUUAUAAGGGUGCUCCUGGACACGUUCCAAAGCACAAAUGAUGAUGUGUUCCGUNNNNNNNNNNNNNNNNNNNNNNNNNNNNNNNNNNNNNNNNNNNNNNNNNNNNNNNNNNNNNNNNNNNNNNNNNNNNNNNNNNNNNNNNNNNNNNNNNNNNNNNNNNNNNNNNNNNNNNNNNNAAAAGCGAAUUAUAGAGACAGAUGGGAGGAGGAGAGAGAGGUGGUUCCCGGCGACGAAUCGCCGCGAAGAGGGGCGGCGGCGUGGCUUCAUGUGGGAGAGAGAGAGGGCGGCGGAUAGAUGGGUGUGAGGAUAGAGAGAGAAAGAGAACCGAUAGUGAGGAGAGAGAGAGUGAAUAUUUGGCUUUUCAUUUCAGUAUUUUUAGGUGUUCAAAAGCUGAUGGAUUUUCUUUAAUGGGCCGAUUUCUAUUAUCAGUUGGGCCGUUUCUUUUCUUUUAUUUGAUGGUCUGUGUUUUCAUUACUUGGGCCCUUUCAAUUUGAGCAAGCCUCUUAUAUUAUAUUUCUUUGGGCUCUAUUUAUUUAUUUAAUUGGGCCUGCAAGUGUUUUCACUAAUUUUAUCAAUUUUCUAUAAGAUUUAGUUUUUAUAUAUUUAAGUAUAUUAUUAAUUAUUGAUUACUUUUACUAAGCUAUCAUUUAUUUUUGAAACUAGUAUCCUCAAUAAAUUACCAAUGUUUAUUCCUAUAAUCUGGGCUAAGUGUAUCAAUAGUUAGCAAUUCUCCUUUAUAUUUAGAAGUUAGAACAGCACCUCGAGACCUAUUAAAGAAUAGAUUUCUUGUAGGUUCGAAUAAUCAAGGGCAGUAGAGAAGUUCAAGCAAGCACUGAAUCUCCACUAUUGAAGUGGGCUAUAUUUUGGUAAAAUGUAUCUUGAGUUAUAUAAACUCUGAUAUUUCAUGAAAGUUAAUUGUUUAUCCAAUAUAAAUGUUUUUAUGUGCGUUCUGUAAUUGUUUAAUGCUCGCAUAAGCAUCGAUCGAGAUUCUCAUUUGACCUAACACAUUAGAUGAGGAUUGUGUACACAAGGUUAGUGGCUCAAUGGGUUGAUCGCCAUUGGGAACUAACAAAGCUAAGCAGGCGUUAUAAGGGUGCUCCUGGACACGUUCCAAAGCACAAAUGAUGAUGUGUUCCGUCUGGGUAGCGUCCCAGGUUCACUUAAGCGGCAGUAAGUGAUCCGACGGUGGUUAAAGGCCCGGGAUCAUAAGCAGCGAGUAACAAUCGAACGUUACAUGGGGCCCUCAACGUGAAAAAUGUUUUGUCAUGCUUAGAAGUGGAUUUCUAUUUUCAAAACCUUCUGAGUUAUGAUUAUGAUAUUGGAUAAACUGCUCUAUUUAAUUAUUUCAUAAAAUAUCUUGUAAACUCUUGUUCACUGAGUACAUUAGUACUCAGUCCAAAUUAUUUUCAAAUAUUUUCAGGUUGAUCGGUUGAUGCAGACGGGGCUGAGCUGAGGCUAGAUACCACGAUGUCUUUUGCUUCCGCUAAUGACUAGCUUGUCAUCUCAUCUUUUAAAUUUCCUAAAUUGAGAAUUUCCAUUAUGUAGUACUAUAUUAUCUCGUUGGGCUUAGACUCUUAACCCAUAUUUCUAUUAAUGAAGCUAUCAUUGAUUAUGAUCAAAGUCACGAAACUAAACUUAUGCGAUCCUGAGUGCGAUUAUUG
RNAcentral lists this long non-coding RNA (2956 nucleotides) under Salvia miltiorrhiza (redroot sage). RNAcentral describes it as "long non-coding RNA (SMIL_LNC004956)". The record is from RNAcentral. Lineage: Eukaryota; Viridiplantae; Streptophyta; Magnoliopsida; Lamiales; Lamiaceae.